GCGGUGCGGCUCGGCUCCGUUCGGCUUGGUUCGGCUCGGUUCGGCUCGGCCCGGCCCAAGUGCGCGCUGCCUGGCGCAGGUGCUUAAACAGCGUCAGCGGCUGCGGCGCGGCAGUCCUUCGCACCGCGGCCAGAAUGGAACCAAAAUUUUGUGUAUUUGCUCUGCUCUUUACUGGCCGUGGAAGGAGAAGAGUGAAUUAAAUGCUUUGCAAAGAUAUAUUCUAGUUUUCUGUCACUUAGUGCUAACAGAAAAACAAAAUAACCCAUCUCGUCUGCUUGAGGAGAUUCUGUUGUAAUGU
This is a long non-coding RNA of Calypte anna (Anna's hummingbird), 298 nucleotides long. RefSeq lists it as uncharacterized. The transcript has 3 exons. NCBI's taxonomy places the organism in Eukaryota, Metazoa, Chordata, Aves, Apodiformes, Trochilidae. The record is from RefSeq and is a predicted model, not a curated record.